GAGGUUUUCUAUUUGUGAAUUUACAUUUGUGAAUAUGAAACUUAGCCAAUAAAAUUAACAAGUUACAGACAUAUACAUGAGAUGAGAAUCGUGUUUCUAAGCAACCAAACAGAACAUUCUUCCAGUACAAAAUAAAAUCCUUAUCAAUAUUUAUAUGUAUAAAAUCACAAAAGUCAAACCAAAAUGUUUUUAUAAAACGACAAUACCAAAAUAAAUGAACAGCAGUCUCAGGGGAAUUACCACAGAAAGUGCACAUAGGGUCAAUAUCUACUCUAAACCUCUUACAAUAAACUUUCACUGGAUAAACUCUGUGAAUAAGCUUAAAAGAAACCUCUUUUAUCUUAUUAGUUACUAAGUAAAGAUUAGGUAAAAGCCAGACCUUUUCCCACUUCA
This is a long non-coding RNA of Monopterus albus (swamp eel), 393 nucleotides long. RefSeq lists it as uncharacterized. The record is from RefSeq and is a predicted model, not a curated record. Lineage: Eukaryota; Metazoa; Chordata; Actinopteri; Synbranchiformes; Synbranchidae. The transcript has 3 exons.